GGAUGGUUCGCAUAACGGCUAUUGCAGCGGUCCAGAAAACCGAGGGGCUUAACGGCCCAUGUGGGUUCGAAUCCUACACCAUCCG
This 85-nucleotide transfer RNA is filed under the name Caudoviricetes sp. Its description in RNAcentral is "tRNA-Ser". It matches the Rfam family "tRNA". From Rfam's summary of the family: Transfer RNA (tRNA) molecules are approximately 80 nucleotides in length. Their secondary structure includes four short double-helical elements and three loops (D, anti-codon, and T loops). Further hydrogen bonds mediate the characteristic L-shaped molecular structure. tRNAs have two regions of fundamental functional importance: the anti-codon, which is responsible for specific mRNA codon recognition, and the 3' end, to which the tRNAs corresponding amino acid is attached (by aminoacyl-tRNA synthetases). tRNAs cope with the degeneracy of the genetic code in two manners: having more than one tRNA (with a specific anti-codon) for a particular amino acid; and 'wobble' base-pairing, i.e. permitting non-standard base-pairing at the 3rd anti-codon position. The record is from RNAcentral. Lineage: Duplodnaviria; Heunggongvirae; Uroviricota; Caudoviricetes.